UGGCAUCGGACUCGAGGAGAAAAUCGGUUGGCACCUGAAUAUAGCUUUCCCAUUCCAGGCUUCCAUGUUUUGGAGACACCAUUCUAAUUCCAGGCGGAUUUCGUCUGUAAGGAAAAUCGAAUGGUCGUAAGAUCGGGAUCUAUGAAGAUAUCACGUCUUGAGGCGUUACAUCGCCCUGUAAUGUAAGGGACCAGGCAAAAUUGCCUGAAUGUAGGCUGACAGGAGUCCUAUUAUACGCGCUAAAUUGCGAAGGAGAAUAUGUUGAGAGGGCAGUAUUCUCUGAAUGUCUCUUUUGAU
Non-coding RNA from Pelobates cultripes (western spadefoot toad), 297 nucleotides. The record is from the annotation of a GenBank genome assembly. Lineage: Eukaryota; Metazoa; Chordata; Amphibia; Anura; Pelobatidae.